GCAUCGAGUGCGGGCGCUCUGGGCCAACCUCCCACCCGUGUCUCUCGCGUACUUUGUUGCUUUGGCGGGCCCACUGGGUCACUCCGGUCGCCGGGGAGCGCUAUGCUCCCGGGCCCGUGCCCGCCAGAGCACCCCUGUGAACCCUGAUGAAGAGAGGCUGUCUGAGUCCCACGAUAAUCGUUAAAACUUUCAACAAUGGAUCUCUUGGUUCCGGCAUCGAUGAAGAACGCAGCGAAAUGCGAUAAGUAAUGUGAAUUGCAGAAUUCCGUGAAUCAUCGAAUCUUUGAACGCACAUUGCGCCCCCUGGCAUUCCGGGGGGCAUGCCUGUCCGAGCGUCAUUUCUGCCCUCAAGCGCGGCUUGUGUGUUGGGCGUGGUCCCCCUGGCUUUGGCGGGGACCUGCCCGAAAGGCAGCGGCGACGUCCCGCCUAGUCCUCGAGCGUAUGGGGCUCUGUCACGCGCUCGGGAGGGACUGGUGGGCGUUGGUCACCCCUUAUUCUUUCUACGGUUGACCUCGGAUCAGGUAGGAGUUACCCGCUGAACUUAAGCAUAUCAAAAG
RNAcentral lists this ribosomal RNA (557 nucleotides) under uncultured Eurotiales. RNAcentral describes it as "eukaryotic LSU rRNA". The stretch from base 185 to 338 matches the Rfam family "5.8S ribosomal RNA". The record is from RNAcentral. Lineage: Eukaryota; Fungi; Ascomycota; Eurotiomycetes; Eurotiales.